AGUCGUGGAUUCAGCAACCAGAGAACACGCGGGAGCUGCCUUUGAUCUGCUGGGCUGCAAGGCCCCAGAGGACGGCAACCUCCAAGAUGAGGAAGUUUCUGAUCAAGCGAUGCCCGGCUUCCAGUUCCUAGAAGUCAGUCCGAUUCUCAUCCCAGUAGAAGAGGGCAGCAGGAUUUUGAGUCCACAGCACUCAAAAGCAUUUAUGAAGUUAAGCCAUUGUGCGGAGACUUCAGGAUGACAGACCAGAUAAUGCAAACCAGCCAUUGAAGGAAGAGGCAGAAAGAAUGGAAGAGCACCAGAGAGCAAACAUGAGGCCAAAUCUGAAUUAAGAGACAGUAACCAUAUUGAAUAGUGGUUUCUCUUGGA
Ochotona princeps (American pika) is the source of this 366-nucleotide long non-coding RNA. RefSeq lists it as uncharacterized. NCBI's taxonomy places the organism in Eukaryota, Metazoa, Chordata, Mammalia, Lagomorpha, Ochotonidae. The record is from RefSeq and is a predicted model, not a curated record. The transcript has 2 exons.